This 340-nucleotide long non-coding RNA is filed under the name Mytilus galloprovincialis (Mediterranean mussel). Lineage: Eukaryota; Metazoa; Mollusca; Bivalvia; Mytilida; Mytilidae. The record is from RNAcentral.
GUGACAUAUGUUAUUAUUAUCCGUGAAAUCAUCCACGUCAGACUGACUGUCUAUAUCACAACUUUUUUUAAACCAUUCUACCACUUUAUAAUAUCCAUUAUAAGGAGACACUUUGUUAAUAUCCAUUUUUGAAAACUGCCGUUUCUUUGUGUCUGAUGACCAUUCAAAGUCCCACUGAAAGAAGAAGUAAGAUUGUUUUUUUAAGAACAAUAUCAGCUUUUUGACUUCUUUCUAUAAUGUGCAUAUAUUAGGGUUGUUUGAUGUUUCUUAAUGUAUUUUUUCUCCCUAAUAUUAUAAUGUUUUAUGGGUUUUUUUUAUAAUGUGCUGUCUCUUAAACUUG